Molecule: transfer RNA, 73 nt
Filed under: Spinacia oleracea (spinach)
Lineage: Eukaryota; Viridiplantae; Streptophyta; Magnoliopsida; Caryophyllales; Amaranthaceae
Rfam family: tRNA
About the family: Transfer RNA (tRNA) molecules are approximately 80 nucleotides in length.
Source: Rfam by way of RNAcentral
GUGUCUGUAGCUCAGUGGAUAGAGUAUUUGUUUCCUAAGCAGAAGGUUGUGGGUUCGAUGCCUACCUAACGCG